Molecule: long non-coding RNA, 98 nt
Organism: Populus euphratica (Euphrates poplar)
Lineage: Eukaryota; Viridiplantae; Streptophyta; Magnoliopsida; Malpighiales; Salicaceae
Exons: 2
Source: RefSeq, a predicted model, not a curated record
UGCUUGCACAAGCUGAUGCUAAUGGUUACUUGAGAGUUUAUGGAUUAGAGUGUUGUUCUAAUGGAGGGGACUCUUUGUCUCUAAGAGAGAUAGUUGGU